AAGCAAAGCGUUCAGAGCAUCUGCCCUUUCAACUUGCGCUCUCAUUUACUGCCGACGUUGAAAAAAAAACGAGCACCGAGGAGUCUUGGAAUUGAGUUUAAACGCUUUCCUGAACGUUUUUUUCUUGCUUAACUUGAUACAUUGUACUCUACAUUUUUCU
Non-coding RNA from Caenorhabditis elegans, 160 nucleotides. The record is from Ensembl. Lineage: Eukaryota; Metazoa; Nematoda; Chromadorea; Rhabditida; Rhabditidae.